RNAcentral lists this unclassified non-coding RNA (313 nucleotides) under Hevea brasiliensis (rubber tree). The record is from RNAcentral. Lineage: Eukaryota; Viridiplantae; Streptophyta; Magnoliopsida; Malpighiales; Euphorbiaceae.
AUCCUAAGUAGCCAAACCCUACUAUUCUACCAUUAUAAAUGCAGGACCAAAAUACCAACUGGAAGCCAAGAAUGGAAAACUCUUCCACAGAAGCCAAGCAGAACAGAGUAAACCAUCCAAAGCCAAGAAAGAGCACCCCCAUGUCUUAACACUUCCAGAGAGAAAACGCAGAACUCACAGCCAAGGACUUGGAGAAGAAGAGAGGCAGGGCCAUGGCAUGUUCAGUAUCGAUAUAGCCAUGGGAAGCGCCAACCACACUUUAAAGUCGUCUCUAUAGAUUCUAGAGACUCCUCCAAGAUUUCCAGCUCCAAAG